RNAcentral lists this ribosomal RNA (465 nucleotides) under Vreelandella stevensii. RNAcentral's name for it is "partial 16S ribosomal RNA". It matches the Rfam family "Bacterial small subunit ribosomal RNA", at positions 338 to 795 of the family's 1533-position model. Lineage: Bacteria; Pseudomonadati; Pseudomonadota; Gammaproteobacteria; Oceanospirillales; Halomonadaceae. The record is from RNAcentral.
CCUACGGGUGGCUGCAGUGGGGAAUAUUGGACAAUGGGGGCAACCCUGAUCCAGCCAUGCCGCGUGUGUGAAGAAGGCCCUCGGGUUGUAAAGCACUUUCAGUGAGGAAGAACGCCUGGUGGUUAAAACCCAUCAGGAAAGACAUCACUCACAGAAGAAGCACCGGCUAACUCCGUGCCAGCAGCCGCGGUAAUACGGAGGGUGCGAGCGUUAAUCGGAAUUACUGGGCGUAAAGCGCGCGUAGGUGGCUUGAUAAGCCGGUUGUGAAAGCCCCGGGCUCAACCUGGGAACGGCAUCCGGAACUGUCAAGCUAGAGUGCAGGAGAGGAAGGUAGAAUUCCCGGUGUAGCGGUGAAAUGCGUAGAGAUCGGGAGGAAUACCAGUGGCGAAGGCGGCCUUCUGGACUGACACUGACACUGAGGUGCGAAAGCGUGGGUAGCAAACAGGAUUAGAUACCCCAGUAGUC